UGGGGAAUAUUGCACAAUGGACGGAAGUCUGAUGCAGCAACGCCGCGUGCGGGAUGACGGCCUUCGGGUUGUAAACCGCUUUUUCUCAUGACGAAGUUUUUUGACGGUAGUGGGGGAAGAAGCACCGGCUAACUACGUGCCAGCAGCCGCGGUGAUACGUAGGGUGCGAGCGUUGUCCGGAAUUAUUGGGCGUAAAGAGCUUGUAGGCGGUUUGUCGCGUCGAUAGUGCAAACUCAGUGCUUAACGCUGAGCCUGCUGUUGAUACGGGCAGACUAGAGGAAGGUAGGGGAGAAUGGAAUUCCCGGUGGAGCGGUGGAAUGCGCAGAUAUCGGGAGGAACACCGGGGGCGAAGGCGGUUCUCUGGGCAUUUCCUGACGCUGAGAAGCGAAAGCGUGGGGAGCGAACAGG
Molecule: ribosomal RNA, 408 nt
Filed under: Fusobacteriota bacterium
Lineage: Bacteria; Fusobacteriati; Fusobacteriota
Description: Fusobacteria bacterium partial 16S ribosomal RNA
Rfam family: Bacterial small subunit ribosomal RNA
Source: RNAcentral